RNAcentral lists this ribosomal RNA (419 nucleotides) under uncultured Prevotella sp. Its description in RNAcentral is "bacterial SSU rRNA". It matches the Rfam family "Bacterial small subunit ribosomal RNA", at positions 358 to 774 of the family's 1533-position model. Lineage: Bacteria; Pseudomonadati; Bacteroidota; Bacteroidia; Bacteroidales; Prevotellaceae. The record is from RNAcentral.
GGAAUAUUGGUCAAUGGACGAGAGUCUGAACCAGCCAAGUAGCGUGCAGGAUGACGGCCCUAUGGGUUGUAAACUGCUUUUAUACGGGGAUAAAGUGACCCACGUGUGGGUUUUUGUAGGUACCGUAUGAAUAAGGACCGGCUAAUUCCGUGCCAGCAGCCGCGGUAAUACGGAAGGUCCGGGCGUUAUCCGGAUUUAUUGGGUUUAAAGGGAGCGCAGGCGGGCGUUUAAGCGUGACGUGAAAUGUAGCCGCUCAACGGCUGAACUGCGUCGCGAACUGGAUGCCUUGAGUGAGUACGACGCGGACGGAAUUCGUGGUGUAGCGGUGAAAUGCUUAGAUAUCACGAAGAACUCCGAUUGCGAAGGCAGCGUUCCAGGGUGUAACUGACGCUAAAGCUCGAAAGUGCGGGUAUCGAACA